Molecule: ribosomal RNA, 529 nt
Filed under: Bifidobacterium dentium
Lineage: Bacteria; Bacillati; Actinomycetota; Actinomycetes; Bifidobacteriales; Bifidobacteriaceae
Description: bacterial SSU rRNA
Rfam family: Bacterial small subunit ribosomal RNA
Source: RNAcentral
CGGGUGGUAAUGCCGGAUGCUCCGGUUGGAUGCAUGUCCUUCCGGGAAAGAUUCCAUCGGUAUGGGAUGGGGUCGCGUCCUAUCAGCUUGAUGGCGGGGUAACGGCCCACCAUGGCUUCGACGGGUAGCCGGCCUGAGAGGGCGACCGGCCACAUUGGGACUGAGAUACGGCCCAGACUCCUACGGGAGGCAGCAGUGGGGAAUAUUGCACAAUGGGCGCAAGCCUGAUGCAGCGACGCCGCGUGCGGGAUGGAGGCCUUCGGGUUGUAAACCGCUUUUGAUCGGGAGCAAGCCCUUCGGGGUGAGUGUACCCUUCGAAUAAGCACCGGCUAACUACGUGCCAGCAGCCGCGGUAAUACGUAGGGUGCAAGCGUUAUCCGGAAUUAUUGGGCGUAAAGGGCUCGUAGGCGGUUCGUCGCGUCCGGUGUGAAAGCCCAUCGCUUAACGGUGGGUCUGCGCCGGGUACGGGCGGGCUGGAGUGCGGUAGGGGAGACUGGAAUUCCCGGUGUAACGGUGGAAUGUGUAGAUA